AUUCUCGGAUAAUCGCUAUAAAUUUAUGUUUAUAGAGGAAAGUCCAUGCUCACACGCAUCUGAGAUGAGCGUAGUGUUCGUGCUUGGUGAAACAAUAAGCCAAGGCAAUUCGUAUUGAACGUUUGACGGCAGCAAAACAACCUAAGUCAUAUGAUAUGGUUUAAUAUGCUUGAAAGUGCCACAGAGACGGAGCUUAUAUAGAAAUAUAUGAGGUGGAACGAGGUAAACCCCACGAGUGAGCAAUCCAAAUUAGGUAGGAGCACUUCUUGAACGGAAAUGAACGUAGAUAGAAGACAUGUAUAACAUGUAGACAGAUGAUUAUCACCAACGUACGAGUGUAACUAGUACACGUUUGCAGUACUAUGGUACAGAACAUGGCUUAUAGAG
RNAcentral lists this RNase P RNA (387 nucleotides) under Abyssicoccus albus. RNAcentral describes it as "RNase P RNA component class B". It matches the Rfam family "Bacterial RNase P class B". Rfam says of the family: Ribonuclease P (RNase P) is a ubiquitous endoribonuclease, found in archaea, bacteria and eukarya as well as chloroplasts and mitochondria. Its best characterised activity is the generation of mature 5'-ends of tRNAs by cleaving the 5'-leader elements of precursor-tRNAs. Cellular RNase Ps are ribonucleoproteins. The record is from RNAcentral. Lineage: Bacteria; Bacillati; Bacillota; Bacilli; Caryophanales; Abyssicoccaceae.